This 305-nucleotide ribosomal RNA is filed under the name uncultured bacterium. RNAcentral describes it as "bacterial SSU rRNA". It matches the Rfam family "Bacterial small subunit ribosomal RNA", at positions 333 to 655 of the family's 1533-position model. The record is from RNAcentral.
UUUAUCCUACGGGGGGCAGCAGUGGGGAAUAUUGCACAAUGGGGGAAACCCUGAUGCAGCAACGCCGCGUGAGUGAUGACGGCCUUCGGGUUGUAAAGCUCUGUCUUCAGGGACGAUAAUGACGGUACCUGAGGAGGAAGCCACGGCUAACUACGUGCCAGCAGCCGCGGUAAUACGGAGGAUCCGAGCGUUAUCCGGAUUCAUUGGGUUUAAAGGGUGCGUAGGUUGUUUUAUAAGUUAGCGGUGAAAUACCGAUGCUCAACAUCGGGGCUGCCGCUAAUACUGUAGGACUAGAGAUCGGAUGC